AAUAAAGAAGGAAGAUAGAGUUUUCUCGGCGACUUAAGGGAAAGCGAACGAUCGGAGCUGUUUUCUCGGUGUCGAUUUGAAGGGAUUUUGUGGAAGAUCAAACCUGAUCGUCCGUUUCGAGUGAUGUUGGUCGGUCAUACGAGAUUACAAGCCAUGGGAAAGUCAAGUAGUUUAGAAUUUACCAACCAGAUGUUCCCAGCAGAUUCAUAAAUGAGAUUCGGCGAUUUGAUGCUACCAUUUUAGCUGCUGUUAGGAGACUACUCUGAGGUUUGUGCUAUGUUUCAACAUUACAAAAGUUGUCUUCAGCUUGUUUGUAUUGUACCUUAAAUAGCAUGGAACAUUUGUGUGACUAGUCAAGAAUUGGCACUGUGAAAAAAAACAAAACAAUUUGUUGCUUCUACGUUGAAAUGUUGAUUUUAUUAUGCUUCUGGAA
Long non-coding RNA from Capsella rubella, 433 nucleotides. RefSeq lists it as uncharacterized. The transcript has 3 exons. The record is from RefSeq and is a predicted model, not a curated record. Lineage: Eukaryota; Viridiplantae; Streptophyta; Magnoliopsida; Brassicales; Brassicaceae.